This 193-nucleotide unclassified non-coding RNA is filed under the name Arsenophonus endosymbiont of Bemisia tabaci Q2. RNAcentral's name for it is "cspA". Lineage: Bacteria; Pseudomonadati; Pseudomonadota; Gammaproteobacteria; Enterobacterales; Morganellaceae. The record is from RNAcentral.
AAGAUGGCAGUAAAGAGGUGUUCGUUAACUUCAGUUUUAUUACAACCGAAGUUUUUAAGACUUUGACCGAAGGUCAGAAAGUUGAGUUUAAUAUUACUGAGGGGGAGAAAAGGCCAUCUGCUAUAAACGUUGUCGCUAUUUGAUUUACUAUAAGAAUUUAUAAAAACCCGUCUCAAUUAUUGAGACGGGUUUU